RNAcentral lists this ribosomal RNA (307 nucleotides) under uncultured bacterium. Its description in RNAcentral is "bacterial SSU rRNA". It matches the Rfam family "Bacterial small subunit ribosomal RNA", at positions 28 to 335 of the family's 1533-position model. The record is from RNAcentral.
GACGAACGCUGGCGGCGUGCUUAACACAUGCAAGUCGAGCGGUAAGGCCCUUUCGGGGGUACACGAGCGGCGAACGGGUGAGUAACACGUGGGUGACCUGCCCUCAGCUCUGGGAUAAGCCUGGGAAACCGGGUCUAAUACUGGAUAUGACUCCAUGACGCAUGUUGUGGGGUGGAAAGCCUUGUGCGGCUGAGGAUGGGCCCGCGGCCUAUCAGCUUGUCGGUGGGGUNANGGCCCUACCAAGGCGACGACGGGUAGCCGGCCUGAGAGGGCGACCGGCCACACUGGGACUGAGACACGGCCCAGA